GACGAACGCUGGCGGCGUGCCUAAUACAUGCAAGUCGAACGAGAGCGACCGGUGCUUGCACUGGUCAAUCUAGUGGCGAACGGGUGAGUAACACGUGGGUAACCUGCCCAUCAGAGGGGGAUAACAUCCGGAAACGGAUGCUAAAACCGCAUAGGUCUUCGAACCGCAUGGUUUGAAGAGGAAAAGAGGCGCAAGCUUCUGCUGAUGGAUGGACCCGCGGUGCAUUAGCUAGUUGGUGAGGUAACGGCUCACCAAGGCCGUGAUGCAUAGCCGACCUGAGAGGGUGAUCGGCCACAGUGGGACUGAGACACGGCCCAAACUCCUACGGGAGGCAGCAGUAGGGAAUCUUCCGCAAUGGACGCAAGUCUGACGGAGCAACGCCGCGUGAGUGAAGAAGGUUUUCGGAUCGUAAAACUCUGUUGUUAGAGAAGAACAAGUGCUAGAGUAACUGUUAGCGCCUUGACGGUAUCUAACCAGAAAGCCACGGCUAACUACGUG
This 498-nucleotide ribosomal RNA is filed under the name uncultured bacterium. RNAcentral describes it as "partial 16S ribosomal RNA". It matches the Rfam family "Bacterial small subunit ribosomal RNA", at positions 28 to 507 of the family's 1533-position model. The record is from RNAcentral.